UACGUAGGGUGCAAGCGUUAAUCGGAAUUACUGGGCGUAAAGCGUGCGCAGGCGGUUGUGCAAGACCGAUGUGAAAUCCCCGGGUUCAACCUGGGAAUGGCAUUGGUGACUGCACGGCUAGAGUGUGUCAGAGGGGGGUAGAAUUCCACGUGUAGCAGUGAAAUGCGUAGAGAUGUGGAGGAAUACCGAUGGCGAAGGCAGCCCCCUGGGAUAACACUGACGCUCAUGCACGAAAGCCAGGGGAGCGAACGGG
Molecule: ribosomal RNA, 253 nt
Filed under: uncultured bacterium
Lineage: Bacteria
Description: partial 16S ribosomal RNA
Rfam family: Bacterial small subunit ribosomal RNA
Source: RNAcentral